UACAUAGAAAAAGUUAUCAAUUAGAUCCUAUUUAUCUAAUAUUGUUGGAAAUUUACAAAUUUCGUAUAAUAUAUUAUGUGGAAUUUUACUAACAUAAUUUGUAUUUCUAUGUAUAAUAUUAAUAUGAGGUAUGUUAAAUAUGUAAACAAAUACUACAUUCAUUAGUAAUAUUCGAAAUGUAAUCUAUAGGUAAACUUAACAAAAUCAUAACAAAUAUGUGACUGCCCUAUCUCUUGUUUAUAUUAUUUAACAGAGCUAGCUUGUUUCAAAACGAAAGCGACGACACAAGUUUUUAUAAACAAAAACCAAACACUUGAAGAGCAAUAAAUUAUAUUGUAACCCGAGCCGUUGCGUCAUGCGGUGACCUUGAAGUCGAUGGCAGCCCACUUGUUUGUGUUUGAGAACGCUUGGCGUAACAACGGUUAACCGACUUAGCUUAAAAAGAAGGUUAUCGAAUUCAUUCGUUCGUACGUACGUCAUAUUAUUGGAAAUUUAUAAUUUUCAUAUACACAUAACACAAAGCGCGAUUUAAACUUGGGAAGUAAGUUGUUGCUGUCAACCUUCUCCCACAGCCACGUCUGCUACCACGUCCUCCCCCUUAUCCUCGAAAGGCGCCUUCGUUAUUUAAUCUACAAAAUAUUAAAUAUACCUUCAUCAUAAGCUGGACCUUUAAAGGUUGUAAAAUAAACACAUUGAAUUAUAUUACGAUUAAACAUAUCCUAUUAUACUUUAUAAUAUUUUGUAUUAUGUAAACGAGAGCAAUUAUAAUUGUUGAAUUUUAGACAGAUUGUUUAUUUGAUAGAGUUGCUAAUAAAUAAUAAUUUCAAUUCUUAAUAAUAACAAUACUCUAAUGUAGUCAUCGCAGGAGACGCCACAAAUUACCAUCGGGAUGUAUGAUUGUGUCCCGUUCCUCUACAGUGCAGUUUUCAAGGAACUUUCUUCCACAUACAACCAAGCUGUGGAAUGAUUCUUUCAACAUAUUGAUAAUAAGAUAUAAUAUAAUAAGAGUAAUACUACACAAGUGGGAGGCUCCUUGCAUAGGAUGCCGGCUAGAUUAUGGGUACCAAAACGGCACCUAUUUCUGCCGUGAAGCAGCAUUUCGGUCUGAAGGGCGCCGUAGCUAGUGAAAUUACUGGGCAAAUGAGACUUCACAUCCUAUGUCUGAAGAAGACGAGCGUAAUUGUAGUGCAACUCAGGAUUUUUAGGCUUUUCAAGAAUCCUGACCGACACUGCAUUGUAAUGGGCAGUGCGUAUCAAUUACCAUCAGCUGAACGUCCUGCUCGUCUCGUCCCGUAUUUUUAUAAAAAAACACUGAAAAUUACGCGUGCUAGUUUAAGGACGCGUUCUCAAAACAAAGAGGUAUCGAACGCACCACUACACUGACACCGCUCAAACACAUACACGUACUUAAAGUUAAUUGCGGGAAUCAAAUGAAUUUGAUACUUUAUCAAGUUUGAAUUUUGUUUUUCUUAAUACCUAUGUUUUUUUGAUAAUUGGUUGAUGUAUUCGUUUAGUAGUUAAAUAUUAGAACUUUAGAUGGCAAUUAUGUCGCAUAACGACGUGUGCAGUAAACGCAGUUUUUUUUUAAUCCAAGAUGGCCGCCGCGAAAAAUUACGAUUUCAGCAAUAUGGAUAUCGAAUCCGAGGUUAUCGAGGAUGCAGAGAAAGAUUUUGGGAUCAUUAUUGUAACCCAAGAUGGCCGCCACGCAAAAUAAUGAUUUCAACAAUAUGGGUAUCGUAUCCGAGGUUCUCGAGGGUGCAGAGAACGAAUUUGGGAUCAUUUUUGAAGUGAAACUUCUUUGCCCGCAUUAGGGUAAAUUUUUUACGGAUAAACCGGAAUGGAUGUCACGAAAAUGAAGGACGUUUUUAUUAGAGAUGAAACGGAUAGCAGUUUGGCCGGAUACCGGAUAUUAGGCCGGAAAAGUUGGUAAAUUUCAUAGGCGCCAUCUUGAAAUUCGAAUUUGACCCAAUAUUCGUUAUUGUUGACCCCGAAAACCAUGAAAAUGAUACCCAUGAAGAGAAGUUGGUAAAAUUCAUAGGCGCCAUCUCGGAUUUCGAUUUUGACCCGAUGUUCGUUAUUGUUGACCCCGAAAACCAUGAAAAUGACACCCAUGAGGAGAAGUUGGUAAUUUUCAUAGGCGCCAUCUUGGAUUUAGAUUUUGACCCAAUAUUCGUUAUUGUUGACCCCGAAAACCAUGGAAAUGACACCCAUGGGGAGAAGUUGGUAAAAUUCAUAGGCGCCAUCUUGGAUUUCGAUUUUGACCCGAUGUUCGUUAUUGUUGACCCCGAAAACCAUGAAAAUGACACCCAUGAAGAGAAGUUGGUAAAAUUUAUAGGCGCCAUUUUGGAUUUCGAUUUUGACCCGAUAUUCGUUAUUGUUAACCCCGAAAACCAUGAAAAUGACACCCAUGAAGAGAAGUUGGUAAAUUUCAUAGGCGCCAUUUUGGAUUUCGAUUUAUUAUAGACCUUAUAUUUAGAGAUGAACUUAUAUAUCACUAAUUCUUCAAAAAAAAUAAAGAAACAUAAGUUUUUGAAAAUCGGACUGUGUACAAAAUAUAAUGUAAAGUAUCAAAGACAGUAUUGUAGAGCUUAUAAACGCAACUGUUCUAACAUCUAAAAUACUUGAGCAUCACUUUUUGUUGUACCGUAAUACUAUUAAUAAAAUAUUGUAAAGAAA
Molecule: long non-coding RNA, 2676 nt
Organism: Leptidea sinapis
Lineage: Eukaryota; Metazoa; Arthropoda; Insecta; Lepidoptera; Pieridae
Exons: 2
Source: RefSeq, a predicted model, not a curated record